GAUGAACGCUGGCGGCGUACCUAAUACAUGCAAGUCGAGCGAACAGACGAGGAGCUUGCUCCUCUGACGUUAGCGGCGGACGGGUGAGUAACACGUGGAUAACCUACCUAUAAGACUGGGAUAACUUCGGGAAACCGGAGCUAAUACCGGAUAAUAUAUUGAACCGCAUGGUUCAAUAGUGAAAGACGGUUUUGCUGUCACUUAUAGAUGGAUUCGCGCCGCAUUAGCUAGUUGGUAAGGUAACGGCUUACCAAGGAGACGAUGCGUAGCCGACCUGAGAGGGUGAUCGGCCACACUGGAACUGAGACACGGUCCAGACUCCUACGGGAGGCAGCAGUAGGGAAUCUUCCGCAAUGGGCGAAAGCCUGACGGAGCAACGCCGCGUGAGUGAUGAAGGUCUUCGGAUCGUAAAACUCUGUUAUUAGGGAAGAACAAAUGUGUAAGUAACUAUGCACGUCUUGACGGUACCUAAUCAGAAGGCCACGGCUAACUACGUG
Molecule: ribosomal RNA, 497 nt
Filed under: uncultured bacterium
Lineage: Bacteria
Description: partial 16S ribosomal RNA
Rfam family: Bacterial small subunit ribosomal RNA
Source: RNAcentral